AGAGUUUGAUUCUGGCUCAGAACGAACGCUGGCAGCGUGGAUUAGGCAUGCAAGUCGAACGUGAAGCCGAUGACCAAUCUUUCGGGAAAGUGAUUCGGUGGAAAGUGGCGAAAGGGUGAGUAACGCGUGGGUAAGCUAUCUUCAAGUUCGGGACAACCCGCCGAAAGGCGAGCUAAUACCGAAUGUGGUCUUUGGAUGCAUAUCCGGAUGAUUAAAGGUGCGCUCCUUUUGGACCUGCCGCUUUUAGAGGUGCCCGCGUGCCAUCAGCUUGUUGGUAGGGUAACGGCCUACCAAGGCUUACGGCUAGCCGGCCUGAGAGGGUGACCGGCCACACUGGGACUGAGACACUGCCCAGACUCCUACGGGAGGCUGCAGUCGAGGAUCAUUCGCAAUGCGCGAAAGCGUGACGAUGCGACGCUGCGUGGAGGAUGAAGGCCUUCGGGUCGUAAACUCCUGUCAUGAGGGAACAGCCAUUUCGCCCCUAAUACGGGUGGGAUCCGAUGGUACCUCAAGAGGAAGCCACGGCUAACUCUGUGCCAGCAGCCGCGGUAAUACAGAGGUGGCGAGCGUUGUUCGGAUUUACUGGGCGUAAAGGGUGCGUAGGUGGUUUUGUAUGUCGGAUGUGAAAGCCCAUGGCUCAACCGUGGAAUUGCAUUCGAAACUGCGGAACUAGAGUGCAGGAUGGGAGAGCGGAAUUCUUGGUGUAGCGGUGAAAUGCGUUGAUAUCAAGAAGAACACCGGUGGCGAAGGCGGCUCUCUGGAAUGUCACUGACACUGAGGCACGAAAGCUGGGGGAGCAAACAGGAUUAGAUACCCUGGUAGUCCCAGCCGUAAACGGUGCACUCUUGGUGUGGGGAGAUUUAACCCUCUCCGUGCCGGAGCUAACGCGUUAAGUGUGCCGCCUGGGGAGUACGGCCGCAAGGCUAAAACUCAAAGAAAUUGACGGGGGCCCGCACAAGCGGAGGAGCAUGUGGCUUAAUUCGAUGCAACGCGAAGAACCUUACCAGGGCUUGACAUAUACCUGCACGCCCCUCGAAAGGGGGGAAGCCUUCGAGGGUGGUAUACAGGUGCUGCAUGGCUGUCGUCAGUUCGUGCUGUGAGGUGUUGGGUUAAGUCCCGUAACGAACGCAACCCUUGUGGUUAGUUGCCACCGGCGGUGAUGAGCCGCCGAGCACUCUAGCCAGACUGCCCGUACAAGCGGGAGGAAGGUGGG
RNAcentral lists this ribosomal RNA (1213 nucleotides) under metagenome. RNAcentral's name for it is "bacterial SSU rRNA". It matches the Rfam family "Bacterial small subunit ribosomal RNA", at positions 8 to 1177 of the family's 1533-position model. The record is from RNAcentral.